GGGCUCGUGGCUCAGCUUGGAUAGAGUGAGUGCUUGCGGAGCAUUAGGUCACCGGUUCAAAUCCGGUCGGGCCCG
Molecule: transfer RNA, 75 nt
Filed under: Candidatus Nitrosopelagicus sp.
Lineage: Archaea; Thermoproteati; Nitrososphaerota
Also listed under: 3 other names
Description: tRNA-Arg
Rfam family: tRNA
About the family: Transfer RNA (tRNA) molecules are approximately 80 nucleotides in length. Their secondary structure includes four short double-helical elements and three loops (D, anti-codon, and T loops).
Source: RNAcentral